GCAAGCGUUGUCCGGAUUUAUUGGGCGUAAAGAGCGUGUAGGCGGCCAGGGAGGUCCGUUGUGAAAACUCGAGGCUCAACCUCGAGACGCCGAUGGAAACCCCCUGGCUAGAGUCCGGAAGAGGAGAGUGGAAUUCCUGGUGUAGCGGUGAAAUGCGCAGAUAUCAGGAAGAACACCCGUGGCUAAGGCGGCUCUCUAGUACGGUACUGACGCUGAGACGCGAAAGCGUGGGGAGCGAACAGG
This 243-nucleotide ribosomal RNA is filed under the name uncultured bacterium. Its description in RNAcentral is "partial 16S ribosomal RNA". It matches the Rfam family "Bacterial small subunit ribosomal RNA", at positions 534 to 776 of the family's 1533-position model. The record is from RNAcentral.